UUUGUGCUUGCAAACCACUCCACCUGCCUCCACGUCCACGGACUCUUUCAAAAACGCAUCCCUCUGUAACAUCGCCCAGGUGACAAAGUUGACAAAGGAGAGGAAACUGGACAGAAUCGGUGGAGGAAAAUACAGAUGCUCCUGAAUGUCAAAGGCCCAGGGAUGGCAUUUUAAUGGGUAAUGAAACAGGAAGGGAUGAGGGCUCAGCUGUAACUUGACUCCGGAAGAGUUUGAAGCAUCUUUGCUGCCCACACCGGGCAUUUAAUACAUACUUGUGAUUAAAUCUCAGCCCUCGGCUUGCUGAACUGCCCAUCCAAGACUUUUGAAGGCAUCUCUUCUCAGUUCUUACAAAAACAAGGGAAGCUGAGCUGCCCCGUUUUCCAGGAGGCAACAUUCCUGCUCCCUGGGCGCAGUUUCCACAGAAACCUUUCACUUCUCCGUGGACGUUUCAGUAAGUCACUACUUUUAGUUUCUCUUUAUUUUUCCUCCUCUUCAUCCUAGGUUUAUGUGUUUUCUCUCUUCCCUCAGUUUUUCUAACAUUUCCUGUUUGUGCAAACUUCAUUAUCAAGAUAUUAUUAAUCCCACCCUUCAUCUCUUCACCAUGCUCUUCCUCACUCACCACUUGGGGGGACAUGACUCCCUACCUCUGGGCAACAGCGGGGCUCUGGACAAUCCCUACUCUGGAAGUCAGAGCCUCUUUAACGGCCAUCAGUGUCCUUCUAGUCUGUUAAUAUUCUUCCCAAAUCCCUUCCUCAUCCACAAAGCCUUUGUUGACCAUCUCUCUCUCUGUUGCCAGGGAAGCUGCUGGUACAGGCAAGGAUGCUCCAAAUGGUACCCUGUGUCCCCUCCCUCAUUAAGCAUGGAGACCACCUGAGCUCUAGACAGAAAUCCUAGUCUUAUCUGUGGCUGGCUUGGUCCUUGCUAGACUGGACAUGUUGCCAUCUGGGGGAAGACAGCACCUCAUGGUUUUAAAGUUUACCU
Long non-coding RNA from Cervus elaphus (red deer), 981 nucleotides. RefSeq lists it as uncharacterized. NCBI's taxonomy places the organism in Eukaryota, Metazoa, Chordata, Mammalia, Artiodactyla, Cervidae. The record is from RefSeq and is a predicted model, not a curated record. The transcript is spliced from 3 exons.